AUUCCGAAUCGCGCGUCCGCAAAGCGUGCAACGCGCCUCUCUCGCGUCUCCCUCCUUCUCUGCGUCUCCCUCGCCCUCCUUCUCGCCCUCCUUCCCUUCUGCCUCUGCCCUUCGCACGCCGCCUCCCCCUCCUCCUGUCCCCAGUCUCCCUCGCCCCUCACCCUCGCUCGUUCCCGACUCGAGGACAUGACGUUGUGCCGUCGUGCUCGCACGUGACGUCACCUCGGCGGCUGUGUGACGUCACGCUGCGACGUCACCCGACAUGGAGGCCUGGACUCCUGGUGCUUUUCUGUGCACAGAGCCAUUCGUGAAACAGGAGUGUGACGACAACCCUGGCUGUGAGAUGUGGAUGGAAGCGAAUGUGAAGCAAGAAGAGUUGAGUGACACCGCUGUGCGAGACUGGGAGACAAGAGCGCCGCUCAUCAAAUCAGAGCAUGGAGAAGAGAGCACCGGCUGUGAGUUCUCAGAAGACGACUUUCAGGCCGAGAGAGAGGAUCUUCAGACUAAAAGGGAACAGCUGAGGGCUUAUCAUUCUUCCUUGAGGCCUGCAGUGACGUGUGACCCACAGGGAGACCAUGCAGUGAUGGGGAGCUGUGCCGAGGUGGAGGUGGAACUGGGAGACAUGAAUGAAGCAGGGAGCGGCAGGCUGGCAUGCGGCAUCUGCGGGCGGAGGUUUAUGAACCGGAACUCGCUGCGGCGACACAUGCUGCUGCACGAGGGAGACGUGGGCACCAAGAAGCACCAGUGCCGGCUGUGCCUGUACGCCACGGAGCUUGCCACUGAGCUGCACCAACACGAGAAGGCACACGCCGUGGGACGCGUGCAUGCAUGCGGAGAGUGUGGCAGGGAUUUCGUGAUGGCCUCGCAGCUCAGGGCUCACCUCAGAGUUCACGCAGAGGGUAUGCGCAGCAGGUGUGACGAUGGAGUGAAGACGACUACGCUGUCACCAAACCCUGACAGCCCCGUGCACAUCGACCUCGCAGGCGACGGAGCACAGUUGUCUUCAAGCGGCAAGCGGAGGAAUCCCAUGCCCACUUUGGACAAGAAGGUGCAGGUUAUCAAGAGGUUCAACAAUGUUGAUAUUGCAUCUCACCUUGCUGCUGAGCAUGGAUGCGGUAAAAAUACUGCCCAUCACCUUCACCCCAGCAGGGACAAAAUCCUGUCGCACGUGUCAGCAUCCAACAACACAGAAAUGCCCUUGCGAAGGAAUAGCACAAAGACUACUGUCGUGCAGCAGUUGGACUCGGCACUUUUCUCCUGGUUCAAGCAGAGACAAGCCGCGGGCAAGUCCAUCUCAAGCCGUGCGGUUGUCGAGCAGGCCCAGCAGUUGCACCGUGACCUUGGAAUAAUUGAGCCCCUCAAUGUUGGUUGUGGGUGGCUGCACCGGUUUAUGCACCGACAUGGCAUUCAUGGCCUUAAUCCUCAACCAGAAAGAUUCUCCACUGAAGAUUGUGCCACGUCCGCCUUUUGUAGGCGGUUCCUUAGGCUAGUAGAUGCACACGCCCUGGUGCCGGAUCAGUUGUAUGGAGCCACAGAGUUGGAAUUGCACUGGAAGGGUGUCUCAGUGGCUGGCACGGCAAUGGCUGCUCCUGACUUUAUUGAUGAUGAGGAGCCGAUUGCUGUGUUAUGCUGUGCAAAUGCAGCUGGAACUCAUCGGCUCCCUCUGGCGUUUAUUGGUCGAGCUAGCAAGAGUAGGGUCCUUAAUGGUCUGAACGAGGGGUUCCUACCAGCUGUCUACUUCCAGCAGAACCCUACGCAGUCUUACAGUGACAUCUGCAUGACUUGGUUUCACCACAACUUCAUCCCUGCCGUGAAAGACCACCUUAGUACCCAGGGCUUGGCCCACAAAGCUGUCCUGGUCCUGGCAGAUACACCAUCCCACCCUGAAGCACGCCCCCUGCAUUCAGUAUCAAAUAACUGCCAUAUUUUCGCAGUGUACAUGCCUCCAAGCGCAGCACUGAAGCUUCAGCCCAUGGAACAGGGUGUUGUACAGAGCCUCCAUCAACAUUUUAUGCGCGGCCGGCUUAGCAAGCACUCGGAAGAUGCGUUAACCUCCCCAAAGGAGCACGUAGUGAUGGACGUGCUGCUUGGAGCCGUGGCCGCAUGGACGCAGAUAGAAACAGCGACGCUCAUGGCCUCCUGGCAUGAGCUCUGGCCCAGCGGUGAGAAGCUCACAACUUUCAGUCCGGCGCAACCUGAGAAUGGACAUCGACAUGAGGCAACGAACAUGGCACUUCUCCAUUGGCAGACAGGGAAGACACUCGGGUGCAGAGAUGGAUAUGAGGAAAACAUGCAGACUGGGUGCACCUGGGAUGACAAUCAGCCCAGCUACAAACUUCCCAAAGAUGAGGACGGAGCAGGGGAAAAUUAUGGCCAUACAGAUUAUAGUGCUAGUUGCUUUCAAAAUAAAACUAGUGGCAUUGUGCUAGAUGGGCAUUGUAUGGCUAACAUUACUGGAGAAAAUCAUGAGCAUGUAGCAGAGCAGAAUCGUGUCGAGGAUGUCGAUGGGGAUGAUGAGGUUAACGAAGAUGAUGACCCUCCUGCCCAGAAUGAAAUCAGUGCAAGGAGUGCCCUUAUGGCUCUGGAAACAGUGAUGCAGUUUCUGGAGCAACAGCCAGACACGGACCACCAGGAGAUGGUGCAGCUCCUCGGCACCCGCCGUAAGAUCAAAUCCAAACUCUCCGUGUCUUUACGCAAGGAAGCCAUCAGGCAUUUGCUUCAUGGUCAUGGACACCUACGCUCAGGAAAGUCUCCUCGUUCUGGCCCGCAUUGCUCGACUACGAUGAGCUUAUAGAGGCCAAACAUCCAAUUACAUGGCUAUCUCACUAAUGUUGCAGUAUCCCUUUGCCCGACUCCCAUUUCGAAUCAUAGAUUCCUGAUCGUAUAUCGUCUCAAUGAAACAGUGUUUCAUUGUGAACAGUUGUAUAUAUAUUAAUUAUGACCUUGGUAUAACAGCUUGGAUAACUGGCUCACUUUUGACUGAAUAACAUGCAAUUCCAUUGUGAAAUACAAAUAUGGCUUUUGAUAAAGGGCACAAAUCAUAGAGAAAUGCAAGUUGAAAGUUAUAGUGAGUGACAAAAAGAGGAGCAGUUGGAUCAUGGAAUAAAAAUAAAUUUGAGACAUCAGAUGCACUAUUCAGACAAAUAUUUGGAUUUGGGCACAACAAAAUUAAGAUGCAAUGCUGACUGAUGGAUGAGACGCGUGACGGAAUAGCAAGGAAGGGAAACGUGCCCGAGAAGAAGACUACUGUGGAGAUGGAGCAUUGAGAAGGCUGGUGAUGAUGGAAUCACUCUUAUUGGUUGAAGCAUAUAAGUUAGCUUUUUAAAAGUAAUAAAUAAUCAAUUAUAUAUGAAUCGGCAAAAAUGUGGCGGACUUAAUAAGAAUCUUAUUCUUAGGUUUUUUCGGUAAAGUCACGUAGAAGGGAAAUAAUAAAAGAAUAAAAAGAAGACAAUAAUAUAACAUUCCCCAACUCAUUGGGACGCUGUCUUUCCGACAGCCCUGUUCUUCACCUGAGGACGGCUGCUUGCGUUAUGGUCGAAACGUCGUGAGAAUUUUAUUUUAAUAUGUUUUAUUUUAAUUAUUUUAUUAUUUCCCUUCUACGUGACUUUACCGAAAGAACCAAGAAGAACAAUCUAUAGCUUAAAGCUGUUCAAUCAAGGAGACUCUUGAAGUCACUUUGAGCAUUAGUUACAUAAUCAGAGCUUUGUAUGGAUCAUUCAGUGGUAUUCCACUCUUUAAUCAAACCAUCGAGUUUGUCAUGUCGGUGAGAGAUUUUCAUUGGCAGUACAAGGUGAACAACGCAGCAUGUGGGGUUUUUUUCGUUAAAGUUGUCUCCUGCUGAAUUGAGCAUGGGUGGCACUGCACUAGUCUCCUGUUUACAGCCCUGAGCCAGUGGUGUGAUUCUACAUUUCUAUGGUGGGUGUAACUAGAAUUUUCCUAGGCCAACUGUUUAUGAAUUCCCCACAAUUAUAAAUGGGAGAGGUGAGAUGGCCAAGUAGUGGUUGGGUUCGAUUGUUGCAACGGUUUUCGGUAAUACUGAAGGCAUUGACCAAAAAUACGCACCGUCUACUUUACAGUGGACGUAGAGUGAAAGCUAUGUGCGCCAGUGUGGUGCUCUAAACUUUCCAGAGUUGAAUAAUUAAUCACAUUUUUAAUUGGAAUUACAGUACCAACAGCAACAUUGCCUCCGACCGGCAGACGAAUGCCCACUUGCAGGCUGGUGCUGCGUCACCUUGUGCCGCACAGGGACCGCUGUCUUCAGGGGGGUUCUCCCCAAGGCUAAAAAAGAAAACUACCUCUGGGCAUUGGAAUGGUUGAGAUGAGACAUUGUGUCACGUGCAUUUAGAUGUUGGGUCAAGCACCCAAAAAAUGUGAAUCUUUAUUCUAUGUAGGUAAAUAAUACAUACAUUGGUAUACCCUCAUGCGUUUUUCUUUCAUCUGACCCGCCCAAUUGCCUCAGAAAAUUGAGAGUUGACGAUGUAUCUGUAUUCAAACAUGAUUUAAUUGUACGUGUGCUUUUUCCCCAAAAUUUCUACUUUUUAAAUGUUAUUUUAGCUUUUGUUAUAGUUGUAUUGGGUUUUCAUAGACUGUAUUUCACCAGGUUACAAUAAGAUGAUACCAAAAUUGUAAUGUAACAGAUGCAAACUAACAGAGAUGUGCAUACUAAUGAAUACGUGCAUCACUCAUAAAUUAUUUACUUAAAUCAAUUUAACUGCAUUGAUUUCUUUCAUUUUCAAAUCCUUAGUUCUAAGGGUUAAUUCUUGAGUAACCAAUAAAGUAAUUCCGGAUGUAUGUGUUGGUGCCUAUAACAUUGGAUAGUGUUAAAUAUUCUGCUGGUUUGUGCAUCCACACCUUUAGGACUGGAUUCUAAUGAGUUUUGCAUAUUAAACGUAUAUUUCAGUAAUGUGUAGUUGAGUAUAUCUCUUGCAUUUUUUUAAUAUACAAGCAUGCUGGGGCGAAAGACCUAUAAAAGCUUCUCACUCUGCACCUUCGAUUAGCACGGAUGGCUAUGUACGGUGCGAAAGAAGUUCAAGAUACAUACCCACAUGUUAUUUUUAUUCAUGUAGUUGGUGUUGUUGUAGUGAGAUAAUGUCCUUUCUCCAGGAAAGCCUCCCUAAUUCCCAAGACCCUUUUUCAGAAGGAUCCUGCUUUCAGCUUUAUGGCCAAAUCUAUUAAUGAGCCGUGUACCCUCACGCAUAUAAGCAGCUUAUAUUUAAGUAUCUGCACAAAUGGAUUGUUGAUUAAAUCAAGUUACUGCAAUUUGGCAACCUCACAGCCCGUUUUGGUUUGAAAAUGUAUAAAUCUUCAUGAUCCACCAAUCCUCUUUCAAGUGCCUGGAUUGGGUGUCAACCUAUUCUGGUAAAUGGGCUUUACUCGGGAAGUAAUCUGAUAUCCGAAUUGGUGUGGUAGAGUAUAUACAAAUGAACCUUAUGGCGGUACCCCGGGUUACCAUAGUAGCCCGGCUCUCGCAUAAUGUCUGUGAUGCAGUCAUUUUUAGUCUGUUGAUGGUCGGCGAUGCGGCAAUCGACUCAUCUCGACGAGCUGUACACGAUGCACCGCUAUGGUGCAUUACGAGCGUUCGUCCUCGCUGCGUUUCAACAUCGCGGAGUAGCACUGAUUUCGGAUUGAUUGGUACCCCAGUUGCAGAGUUAAGUACACCCCUGGAAAAAAUAGUGUCUCAGAAAUAAUAUAUUUAAUUGCCUUGGCCAUUUUUUAUUAUUUGGUACCCUGGGGUACCGCCAUAAGGAUCAAAUAAAGAUUGGAUUUAUAACAAAUAUAUAAUUCACCCUUUGUCAAUGAAGACCUCCCCCAUACCCUGCCAGUCAUGGGGGUGGGGGGGGGGGUUGCACCAUUUUUCACCAUCCUGUGAUGUUACUCAAAUACAGGAGGCCAUUGUGUGCCAACAUCAGUCAAAAUUUGCCAAUUAAAAACAUUGGGAUUACACAUAGCAACAUUUCCUGUCACUAUGAAAUCACUCUGAGGGAGUGGCAUCCUCAGAGCAAAGCUCCUAAUACACAAAGCCCCAAAGUGAUAAAGUUUCCUCACACCUCGGUUGUCUCGUGCACGUGUGUAUAAUGUUACUGACAAUGUAACUGAAAAGCAAACAACCCCAACAGUUGUUUUCUUUUUGUGCUUACAACCUAUCAAGAUUGACCGCAGGGGCAUCUAUAAGCUGCUGACCAUUGAGCAGAAGGUCGAGCUAAUCAGAAGGCUGCGUCAAGGCGAGACGGUGUCCUCGCUCGUGGCCGAGUACGGCGUUGGCACGUCGACGGUCUACGACAUCAGGCGCA
This is an RNA transcript of Lethenteron reissneri (Far Eastern brook lamprey), 6290 nucleotides long. It is a transcript of the gene named jerky protein homolog-like, with no coding region annotated. The record is from RefSeq and is a predicted model, not a curated record. NCBI's taxonomy places the organism in Eukaryota, Metazoa, Chordata, Hyperoartia, Petromyzontiformes, Petromyzontidae.